Molecule: unclassified non-coding RNA, 391 nt
Filed under: soil metagenome
Description: partial contains 5.8S ribosomal RNA, internal transcribed spacer 2, and large subunit ribosomal RNA
Rfam family: 5.8S ribosomal RNA (bases 1-122)
Source: RNAcentral
GAUGAAGAACGUAGCGAAAUGCGAUACUUGGUGUGAAUUGCAGAAUCCCGUGAACCAUCGAGUCUUUGAACGCAAGUUGCGCCCGAAGCCAUUAGGCCGAGGGCACGCCUGCCUGGGCGUCACACGUCGUUGCCCCCCCAUCUACUCCUUCGGGAUUGCGGGGGGCGGAUGAUGGCCUCCCGUGCGCCUCGUCGCGCGGUUGGCAUAAAUGCCAAGUCCUCGGCGACGCACGCCACGACAAUCGGUGGUUGCGAAACCUCGGUUGCCCGUCGUGUGCGGUCGUCGCGCAUCGAGGGCUCGAAAAAAUUGCCGGGCUCCGGCUCGGAUUUCAACGCGACCCCAGGUCAGGCGGGGUUACCCGCUGAAUUUAAGCAUAUCAAUAAGCGGAGGA